RNAcentral lists this ribosomal RNA (1135 nucleotides) under uncultured beta proteobacterium. RNAcentral's name for it is "bacterial SSU rRNA". The record is from RNAcentral. Lineage: Bacteria; Pseudomonadati; Pseudomonadota; Betaproteobacteria.
GAGUUUGAUCAUGGCUCAGAUUGAACGCUGGCGGCAUGCCUUACACAUGCAAGUCGAACGGUAACAGGUUAAGCUGACGAGUGGCGAACGGGUGAGUAAUAUAUCGGAACGUGCCCAGUCGUGGGGGAUAACUGCUCGAAAGAGCAGCUAAUACCGCAUACGACCUGAGGGUGAAAGCGGGGGAUCGCAAGACCUCGCGCGAUUGGAGCGGCCGAUAUCAGAUUAGGUAGUUGGUGGGGUAAAGGCCCACCAAGCCAACGAUCUGUAGCUGGUCUGAGAGGACGACCAGCCACACUGGGACUGAGACACGGCCCAGACUCCUACGGGAGGCAGCAGUGGGGAAUUUUGGACAAUGGGCGCAAGCCUGAUCCAGCCAUGCCGCGUGCGGGAAGAAGGCCUUCGGGUUGUAAACCGCUUUUGUCAGGGAAGAAAAGGUUCUGGUUAAUACCUGGGACUCAUGACGGUACCUGAAGAAUAAGCACCGGCUAACUACGUGCCAGCAGCCGCGGUAAUACGUAGGGUGCAAGCGUUAAUCGGAAUUACUGGGCGUAAAGCGUGCGCAGGCGGUUAUGCAAGACAGAGGUGAAAUCCCCGGGCUCAACCUGGGAACUGCCUUUGUGACUGCAUGGCUAGAGUACGGUAGAGGGGGAUGGAAUUCCGCGUGUAGCAGUGAAAUGCGUAGAUAUGCGGAGGAACACCGAUGGCGAAGCAAUCCCCUGGACCUGUACUGACGCUCAUGCACGAAAGCGUGGGGAGCAAACAGAUUAGAUACCCUGGUAGUCCACGCCCUAACGAUGUCAACUGGUUGUUGGGAGGGUUUCUUCUCAGUACCGUAGCUAACGCGUGAAGUUGACCGCCUGGGGAGUACGGCCGCAAGUUGAAMUCAAGGAAUUGACGGGGACCCGCMCAAGCGKKGAUGAUKUGUUUAAUUCGAUGCACGCCGAAAAACCUUWACCUACCCUUKGAMMUGCCAGGAUUCCUGGAGGARAUUKGGGAGKGCUCGAAGAAAGCCUGUACCAGGUGCUGGCAUGGCCGUCGUMGCUCUGKAUCSUGRUAAUGGUUGGUUUAGUCCGUACCGGGCCACUKCAUAGUGCCUCAAGGUCCUCAUGAACKGCGUGGUACAUACCGGGAGUGA